CCUACGGGCGGCAGCAGUGGGGAAUAUUGCGCAAUGGGCGAAAGCCUGACGCAGCAACGCCGCGUGAAGGAAGAAGGCUUUCGGGUUGUAAACUUCUUUUCUGAGGGACGAAGAACGUGACGGUACCUCAGGAAUAAGCCGCGACUACCUCCGUACCAGCAGCGGCGGUAAGGCGUAGGUGGCAAGCGUUAUCCGGAUUUAUUGGGUGUAAAGGGGGUGGAGGGGGGAAAGCAAGUCAGAUGUGAAAACUCAGGGCUCAACCCUGAGCCUGCAUUUGAAACUGUUUUUCUUGAGUGCUGGAGAGGCAAGCGGAAUUCCGGGUGUAGCGGUGAAAUGCGUAGAUAUAAGGAGGAACACCAGUGGCGAAGGCGGAUUGCUGGACAGUAACUGACGCUGAGGCGCGAAAGCGUGGGGAGCAAACAGGAUUAGAUACCCCUGUAGUC
Molecule: ribosomal RNA, 443 nt
Filed under: uncultured bacterium
Lineage: Bacteria
Description: partial 16S ribosomal RNA
Rfam family: Bacterial small subunit ribosomal RNA
Source: RNAcentral